This 379-nucleotide ribosomal RNA is filed under the name uncultured cyanobacterium. Its description in RNAcentral is "bacterial SSU rRNA". It matches the Rfam family "Bacterial small subunit ribosomal RNA", at positions 376 to 770 of the family's 1533-position model. Lineage: Bacteria; Bacillati; Cyanobacteriota. The record is from RNAcentral.
CGAAAGCCUGACGGAGCAACGCCGCGUGAGGGAUGAAGGCCUCUGGGCUGUAAACCUCUUUUCUCAAGGAAGAAGAUCUGACGGUACUUGAGGAAUAAGCCACGGCUAAUUCCGUGCCAGCAGCCGCGGUAAUACGGGAGUGGCAAGCGUUAUCCGGAAUUAUUGGGCGUAAAGCGUCCGCAGGCGGCCUUGUAAGUCUGCCGUUAAAGCGUGGAGCUCAACUCCAUUUCAGCGGUGGAAACUACAAGGCUUGAGUGUGGUAGGGGCAGAGGGAAUUCCCGGUGUAGCGGUGAAAUGCGUAGAUAUCGGGAAGAGCACCAGUGGCGAAGGCGCUCUGCUGGGCCAUAACUGACGCUCAUGGACGAAAGCCAGGGGAGCG